This 77-nucleotide microRNA precursor is filed under the name Schistosoma margrebowiei. Its description in RNAcentral is "mir-3492 microRNA precursor family". It matches the Rfam family "mir-3492 microRNA precursor family". The record is from Rfam by way of RNAcentral. Lineage: Eukaryota; Metazoa; Platyhelminthes; Trematoda; Strigeidida; Schistosomatidae.
AGCCUUCUGUAUCGUGCUGAGAUUUCGUCACACACCAGACCAAAACGUCUGAAGAGACUUCCAAGAUAAGUUAUGCG